This 5683-nucleotide long non-coding RNA is filed under the name Marmota monax (woodchuck). Lineage: Eukaryota; Metazoa; Chordata; Mammalia; Rodentia; Sciuridae. The record is from RNAcentral.
UGUAAAUAGAGAAUUAUACUGAAGGCUUCCAUGUCUCCAAAAGGAAGUAUGAAAUAUGACUGAGAGGGAAGUCUUAAUCAACCAAACUCUAGAAUUGCUUUCUCUUCAAUGUACGACAGAGUCUUUCUCUGGAACCCUGUUAGGGAGAAAGAAUGCAGCCUAACUUGGCAUUUUAGGUUUUCUGUGAGAUAUUAUGAUAGCUACCCAGACAGUUCUGACUUUGAGAUCCUAGUUCUCAGUUGUGACUUGUCUCCUGCAGAAAACAAUGCUCCUUCAUGUCACAGACAGGAAGGCGUCUGCCUGGCUCUCUUGAUGAAGGACAGAGGUGAGACUAUAACUUCUAUCCCUGUAUAGGGACAGACACCAGCAUGCUGGUAGGAUUUUUAAGAAUUCUGAGAUUUCCAGUAAAUGAGGUUUCUAGUGACUUCCCUCAGCCAGUGGGUAUUGAUCAUAUUGAUAUUAAGAUCUUGAUCACAUAUUUGAACUUCUAGGAAUCUAGUAGUAUUUAUUCCACAUCCUGUGUUCUGUUUGUGCUUCCAUUUCUUGUUUUCCACCCACAAUGUCUCUUCUAUAACAUUUGUUAUAAUUUUGAGAAGUUGAGCUGAGGUAAAACAUUGAAUUGAUUUUUACAUAAAUUAAUACCUAUUAUUUAUAUAGUAGGUAAGUUAUUAAAUUUUAGAGCAAGGACUACAAAUAUUCCCUUCAGUAUAUAGUGUCCCAAAGGGGAUAGGAACAGACAGAGGAAUUUGCUAAGAAAAUGAAAUUAGAAAGCUGCUGACACUAAGUCUCUUUCUCAGGAAAAAUCAGAAAACUUCCCUCGCUCCCCUUCCACAGCCCCUAACUGAUGAGGCUGCUCAUGGGAAGAGUAGCUGUGUCAGCCACUUCCCUUUCCUCAAAUUUUCAAUGGAAACAACUAGAAACUGCAAGAGACUUACUGGGUGGCAACUGUCCAGUUUCAGCAUAAUAGCUGUGAAGAUCCGCAAGUUACUGGAUGGAGCAUUGAUGACUAGAAAACCAGUAAAAGGAGUGUCUUCCCAGCUCUGCAUAUUGACUAUCCCCACUUACAUUUUGAGUGUUCUCUCCACUGUCUGACUCCCAUUCUAGGCUUUCUGUUGGCCUCCUUCCUCUUCCAUGUUCCCUUUUCACUCUUUAUAAUUUGGGAUAUUUAUACUGUUUAGAAAUCUUCUGUUAUCAUAAGAAAUGCUGAAAUGAACAUUUCAUAGUUAAUUUGGCACAUACCUCUAAGAAUUAUCUUAGGAUAAAUUCCUCAAAGGGAAAUUAUAAAACCAGUGUAUAGAUCAUUAUAUUGCGUUAAUUGCCAAAAAGUCCUCAGAAAGGUAUAAUUUAUUUUCACUUGAAAGUAUAUGAAUCUCAGCAAGGUGAGUGAGAAAAAAAAGUUGGGGGGACUUUACUGGAAUGUAAUACUGGACAUUCAAAGCAGACUCAGGAGGUUGGCUCUAAUAAAAUAAGAAAGCCCCAGCUCCACAUCUGCUGCAGUGACCAGAGGCACCAGCCAGAGCGGUCCCCAAGCAAAGUGGAGGGAUAAGGGAAUUAAAGGAACCCACAUUUUUAAGAGGCCUGAGGUGUAUCUGGGCACAGAGAGUUCAGAGAUCAAAGACAUUGCUCUACUAAACGGAAAGGCAUGUUGCACAAUAUCCUUGUGUGGGAAAGAAGCCACCAUCUCUCCAGGCUGCAUGCAGAGGACAGAGAAAGAAACCAUUUUACGGCCUUGUCAUGAGGGCUGACAGCUAAGUGAGCUAAUUCCUGGCAAACCUGAGUUUUGUCUAAAACACAGGCCUGGAAAAUCCAAAUUGCAUGAUAUAGAGUGUGCCUGAGUGACUAGGAGAAAAUCAAAUGUGGAGAGAGAUUUACAUGGGGGAAUGUUGGUCUUGGAAACUCACCUGGCUCUACCCUACCCCUCCAAUCUGACUGCUUGCAGACUGGCCGGGAGAGAUGACCCUAGAUGGAAAUUUGAAAGAUGAGGAGCAGGAGACAUUGACUUUGGAGACUGAACCCAAGACCAGGAAACAUGGGGUCUGCAGGUGACAUAGUGGACUAAGAAUUGGCUCUUCCACCAAGUGGCACCCAGGAAAGAUCCUUAGGGUCCAGUCUUCUAGUGUGGAUCAGCAAUUUCUGGGCCCUGGAGGCACACUAAUUUAAAGUCUCCACACCAACUGAAAUGUAGCAAAGAGCCUGGAGCAUACCUAAACUUAAGCCCCACCUCCAGGAUUUCCUCCUAUGGGAUUACCCCCUCUUACUACAGCAAUCCAACAGAGAGCGGGGCAUCAUGAUCCAGAUGAUGCCACCUAACACUACUGAGAAGCUGAAAAUCGUUUGAACUCCAAUGGAAAGGAUUCUUCAACUUUAUAUCAAGAUUUUUUUCUCUUUCCUUAUUCUUUUCUGUUUAAUUGUGACCUUAAUUGUUCAUGGAUUUUUUUUUCUUCUUCUUCUCCUUCUCCUCCUCCUCCUCCUUCUCCUUCUCCUUUUUCUUUGGAUUGAACACAGAGGCACUCAGCCACCGAGCCACAUCCUCGGCCCUAUUUUGUAUUUUAUUUAGAGAUAGGGUCUCAUUGAGUUACUUAGUGCCUUGCUUUUUGUUGAGGCUGGCUUUGAACUCGUGAUCCUUCUGCCUCAGCCUCCCGAGCAGCUGGAUUACAGGUGUGGACCACUGAGCCCAACUUCAUGGACGUUUAUACUUAUUCAUAUUUGUAUUUUCUCUCAUUUCUGGCACUUUUGAAGCCAAUUAAUUUUCAUGGAUUUUUUAAACUAGGAUGUUUUAUUAGUAUAUUUCAGUUUUGUAUUCUCUUAUUUUUAAGUUUUCAAUGUUUACUUUACAUAUAUUUUAUUCUCUUACCUGUUUCCCUUGAUUCUCUUUCUCUCUUUUCUUUUGCUAAUAGCCAAUCUCUAUUCUUUCAUUCUUUCUUUAAUUUUUUACUUCCAUCUUCUCUCCUCCCUCAUACUUAUCACAUCCUAUAUCACUUCUGUUCUCUCCCUGUCCACCAUUCAAAAUUAUAAAGUCUUUGCAAACUUAAUGUUUUUAUUGUAGGCAAUAACUGAUCAUAUCAUUUAUGUUUAUUGUGACAAUUAACAUUGUAAAUGUCAUAGUAGGAACUAUUUGGUCUAAGGCUAUAUAUUGUUUGCAUUGGUUGUUAUUAUUAUUAUUUAUAUGUAACAGCAGAAUGCAUUACAAUUCUUAUUACAUAUACAGAGCUUAAUUUUUCAUAUCUCUGUAUACAUAGUGUACUCACACCAAUUCGUGUCUUCAUACAUGUACUUUAGAUAAUAAUGAUCAUGACAUUCCACCAUCAUUAAUUACCCCAUGCUCCCUCCCUUCUCCUUCAACCCCUCUUCCCUAUCUAGAGUUCCUCUAUUCUUCCCAUGCUUCCCCUCCCUAUCCCACUAUGAAUAAACCUCCUUAUAUCAAAGAAAAUAUUUGGCAUUUGGUUUUUUGGGAUUGGCUAACUUCAUUUAGCAUUAUCUUCUCUAAGUCCAUCCAUUUACCUGCAAAUGCCGAGAUUUUAUUUGAUUCUUCUUAUCUUGUAUAAUACUCUUUUGAUGUGGUAAGCCAUUAAUUGAAAUUUUGCUUUGUUUUGUUUUCUGUUUUCACUGAGAAGUCAUUGGUUCAAGGGUCUAUGGAUUCUAAUGACAGUGGGAAAACUUGAAAAACAGUGGACUGGUUGUUGGCUCUGGCCUUACCAGAAUUAAUCUAGAGUUGUAGAAGGAGCUAUGCACUUAGAUUAUAUCAGGUAAAACACAGGUGAUGGAGUCAUAAACAUCCAGCUCUAUCAGUGCCCCAGAGAAAGUAGCUUUCAAAACUUUUUCUUUUGUUUCUAUAAAUACUCAUUCUUGAACACUACUGCUUCCAUUACUCAAAAUAUAUUAGUCUUAUUAUGUUCAAUAUUGUGCUAACUUAUAAAAAUACAUGAAGGUUAGUUACAUUUCAUUUUUAUACACACAACGCUUCUCUAUGUUGCUCCAAAUGUAUAAGGUACAAAUUCAAAUUGAGUCUUAGGUAAGUUGAUGGUUCAAAGCUUAUAAUCUGGAUUCCUAUUCAUUUUUCUAUUCUACACCUUUUUUAAAAAACAUUUUUUUAGUUAUACAUGGACACGAUAUCUUUAUUUUGUUUAUUUAUUUUAUGUGGUACUGAGCAUCAAACCCAGUGCCUUACAUGUGAGAGGCAAGCUCUCUGCCACUGAACCACAACUCCAGGCCCCCUAUUCUGCAUCAUAAUAAUCAAGAAUAAAUUUGAAAUAAUAUGGUUAUGUGAAAGAUGCAAUAAGUGCCUAAUGACAGAGAAAUGACAGCAAUUUUUAAUACCCAAUACCCCUCAUAGGAUGCUGUGUGCUUUUCAACUCAAUUUGUCCUCUAGUUACAAUUGAGAUAGGGUUAUAUUACAUGUUUGAGUUACACACUUUUUUUGCAGGGGGUUUUAAAUUAUUUUUACUUUUUCUUUGAGGUUUUGUACCAGAUUUCUAAUAUUAAUGUUAUUGGGCUAUUAGGUUGCAAACUGUAAGCAAUGGUCUCUCUACGGUUUUCCUGUUAUCUAAAAUAAUAAGAGUAUUAGCCUUGAAUGGGGCUGCAAGUAGUUUUUCUGUUCCAACCUAUGGUAGGAGUUCUUUCUAUAAAAUAUUAUUAGAGAAAAAAGAUGGUAACUUAAGGGCAGAUGUUGGAUAAAAAUUCAAUUCACUGAAAAUCAGGCAAGACAUGUACUUUGUGUGGAUGCCAAUUUCUUCAUCAUAAAAUAGAGAUAAUAGUCCUUACCUCAUUAAGUUGUUUUGAAGACAAAAUGAAAUUUUAAAAAUAAAACAUGGAAAAAUAUGUUUGAAACUCUAAAACACUGUAAAAAACACAAGGGACAAACUUAAGUUUACCAAGAGGGUGGCUGUUUAUCCUUGGUGUGGCGCUAAAUCAAUUCUGCUUUACUCCUAGUGGAGAAGACAUUAAUUGGACUUCUGAAUGUGGCUAUAGGUUUACUCAUUUAUCCUUUCAAAUCCUUAUGAAACCCCAAAGAUGAGAAAAUAUUGCUUACCAUCGGUUUUCUUUCCUAGUGGUAAAGUUUGGGCUUCUGGGAAAUAUUAGUAAAAAAUGUAUUUAAAUGAGCUUCUGAAUAUAAAAUGAAGAGCUUAUUAUGAAAACUUCAAAUCUAUUUUAACUUUACCAAGCUGCCAUUUAGAUUAGCAGAAAUGUAUUCAUUUCAUAGCAAAAAAGUUAUACUUAUUUUAAAAAUAAUGUUAAAUAUUCAAUAACAUAUUAGAAUGGUCUUAGAAAGAUUAAUAAUCAAAAUUUUGGAGAAAAUAAUAAAGCAUACAAUGGAGGAAAAAUUAAUGACUUGAAAAUCUUAUAACACAAACUUAUUAAUACAGUUCUUUACAGGAACAAAUUAAUUCUGCAUGUAUAUUUGAUAAUAAAACAGUCUUAGACAAAUGGAAUAUUGGGAUUGGAUAAUAUUCGUCUCAUUGAACUCCUACUGUCUAGUAGUAAAGUCCUGAGCCAGUGAUUGUCUGGAGUCGGGGGUCUGUUUAUGUGUUUCCACAGGGAGAACAGCAGCCGAUUUGGAUUCCAGAAAGAUUAACUAAAGCGAUUUCUACAGACCAAAAAGAAGAUGAUUUGGCUCAAAUCCAUAACAACUGAUAUCCAAAACUCCAGUUUGGCUAUUCUUACAUCUGCAACAGAACCAGGAUGC